RNAcentral lists this ribosomal RNA (470 nucleotides) under uncultured Comamonadaceae bacterium. RNAcentral's name for it is "bacterial SSU rRNA". It matches the Rfam family "Bacterial small subunit ribosomal RNA", at positions 906 to 1382 of the family's 1533-position model. Lineage: Bacteria; Pseudomonadati; Pseudomonadota; Betaproteobacteria; Burkholderiales; Comamonadaceae. The record is from RNAcentral.
GGAAUUGACGGGACCCGCACAAGCGGUGGAUGAUGUGGUUUAAUUCGAUGCAACGCGAAAACCUUACCCACCUUUGACAUGUACGGAAUUUGCCAGAGAUGGCUUAGUGCUCGAAAGAGAGCCGUAACACAGGUGCUGCAUGGCUGUCGUCAGCUCGUGUCGUGAGAUGUUGGGUUAAGUCCCGCAACGAGCGCAACCCUUGUCAUUAGUUGCUACGAAAGGGCACCCUAAUGAGACUGCCGGUGACAAACCGGAGGAAGGUGGGGAUGACGUCAAGUCCUCAUGGCCCUUAUAGGUGGGGCUACACACGUCAUACAAUGGCCGGUACAAAGGGUCGCAAACCCGCGAGGGGGAGCCAAUCCAUCAAAGCCGGUCGUAGUCCGGAUCGCAGUCUGCAACUCGACUGCGUGAAGUCGGAAUCGCUAGUAAUCGUGGAUCAGCAUGUCACGGUGAAUACGUUCCCGGGUCUU